RNAcentral lists this long non-coding RNA (226 nucleotides) under Gallus gallus (chicken). Its description in RNAcentral is "long non-coding RNA NONGGAT004029". Lineage: Eukaryota; Metazoa; Chordata; Aves; Galliformes; Phasianidae. The record is from RNAcentral.
CUCUGGUUUGGCAUGGAGGUGUUCAUUAAGUGAACAAGCAGAUGGACUAAGAUACUGGUUCUUAGAGAUAAUAAGCCUGCAGAAUGAUGGAAGAUGCAGGAUUUUGACAAGUAUUCUGCUCUAGCUGAGCCUAUGCCAACUGAUUGGAGUUUUGAAGUGAAUCUCCUGAUUUUGUCUUCUUACUGGACUUCAGUUCCCUCUGCAAAGCAGUCUCAGUAUGUGUGAG